Molecule: ribosomal RNA, 268 nt
Filed under: uncultured soil bacterium
Lineage: Bacteria
Description: partial 16S ribosomal RNA
Rfam family: Bacterial small subunit ribosomal RNA
Source: RNAcentral
AGAAUCAACGCUGGCGGCGUGCCUAACACAUGCAAGUCGAACGCGAAAGGGGAGCAAUCCCUGAUUAGAGUGGCAAACGGGUGAGUAACACGUGGGUGACCUGCCUUCGAGUGGGGGAUAACCUUCCGAAAGGAGGGCUAAUACCGCAUGACACACCGUGUUUGGAUACAUGGAUAUCAAAGCCGGGGAUCGCAAGACCUGGCGCUUGAAGAGGGGCCCGCGUCCGAUUAGCUAGUUGGUGGGGUAACGGCUCACCAAGGCUCCGAUC